Molecule: long non-coding RNA, 2465 nt
Organism: Oncorhynchus keta (chum salmon)
Lineage: Eukaryota; Metazoa; Chordata; Actinopteri; Salmoniformes; Salmonidae
Exons: 3
Source: RefSeq, a predicted model, not a curated record
UGAAUUUAUUUGCAAAUUAUGGUGGAAAAUAAGCAUUUGGUCACCUAUAAACAAUCAAGAUUUCUGGCUCUCUCAGACCUGUAACUUAUUCUUUAAGAGGCUCCACUGUUCUCCACUCAUUACCUGUAUUAAUGGCACCUGUUUGGACUUAUUAUCAGUAUAAAAGACACCUGUCCACAACCUCAAACAGUCACACUCCAAACUCCACUGUGGCCAAGACCAAAGACCUGUCAAAGGACAGUGAUUCCACUUCUAGUUUUUUCUACAAAACUUAAAUUGUCCAAUCAAUCAUGGACAUCAUUGACAUAUAGUAUGUAAAAACAUAUAGUUAGUUUUUAUUUUUGUAUUUACUUCAAAUCACAGACAAAUCCCAAAUAAGGCAACUACAACAACACUUUUUUUUAAACGCAAAAUGUAUAUUAUUUUGUAUAUACACUAAACUAUAAUAUAAUAAUUACACAAAAUUAUCCAAAUACGAUCAUCAGAACAAUUGCAUGAACAGGAGUACAUAAGUCUAAGAAUUUAAAUAAGUGAGUACCUACUGAAACUGCAAAUGAGGACAUUUCAGUGCAAAGACUGUGUGACAAAUCACAAAGUGUUGUGUAAUCUAGUGUCUGUCAUCGGAACAUCUUGUUAGCUAGGUGUUAUCUAGUGUCUGUCAUCUGAACAUCAUGUUAGCUAGGUGUUAUCUAGUGUCUGUCAUCUGAACAUCAUGUUAGCUAGGUGUUAUCUAGUGUCUGUCAUCUGAACAUCAUGUUAGCUAGGUGUUAUCUAGUGUCUGUCAUCUGAACAUCAUGUUAGCUAGGUGUUAUCUAGUGUCUGUCAUCUGAACAUCAUAUUAGCUAGGUGUUAUCUAGUGUCUGUCAUCUGAACAUCAUGUUAGCUAGGUGUUAUCUAGUGUCUGUCAUCUGAACAUCAUGUUAUCUAGUGUCUGUCAUGUGAACAUCAUGUUAUCUAGUGUCUGUCAUCUGAACAUCAUGUUAGCUAGGUGUUAUCUAGUGUCUGUCAUCUGAACAUCAUGUUAGCUAGGUGUUAUCUAGUGUCUGUCAUCUGAACAUCAUGUUAGCUAGUGUCUGUCAUCGGAACAUCAUGUUAGCUAGGUGUUAUCUAGUGUCUGUCAUCUGAACAUCAUGUUAGCUAGGUGUUAUCUAGUGUCUGUCAUCUGAACAUCAUGUUAGCUAGGUGUUAUCUAGUGUCUGUCAUGUGAACAUCAUGUUAGCUAGUGUCUGUCAUCUGAACAUCAUGUUAGCUAGGUGUUAUCUAGUGUCUGUCAUCUGAACAUCAUGUUAGCUAGGUGUUAUCUAGUGUCUGUCAUCUGAACAUCAUGUUAGCUAGGUGUUAUCUAGUGUCUGUCAUCUGAACAUCAUGUUAGCUAGGUGUUAUCUAGUGUCUGUCAUGUGAACAUCAUGUUAGCUAGUGUCUGUCAUCUGAACAUCAUGUUAGCUAGGUGUUAUCUAGUGUCUGUCAUCUGAACAUCAUGUUAGCUAGGUGUUAUCUAGUGUCUGUCAUCUGAACAUCAUGUUAGCUAGGUGUUAUCUAGUGUCUGUCAUCUGAACAUCAUGUUAUCUAGUGUCUGUCAUGUGAACAUCAUGUUAUCUAGUGUCUGUCAUCUGAACAUCAUGUUAGCUAGGUGUUAUCUAGUGUCUGUCAUCUGAACAUCAUGUUAGCUAGGUGUUAUCUAGUGUCUGUCAUCUGAACAUCAUGUUAGCUAGGUGUUAUCUAGUGUCUGUCAUCUGAACAUCAUGUUAUCUAGUGUCUGUCAUCUGAACAUCAUGUUAUCUAGUGUCUGUCAUCUGAACAUCAUGUUAGCUAGGUGUUAUCUAGUGUCUGUCAUGUGAACAUCAUGUUAGCUAGGUGUUAUCUAGUGUCUGUCAUCUGAACAUCAUGUUAGCUAGGUGUUAUCUAGUGUCUGUCAUCUGAACAUCAUAUUAGCUAGGUGUUAUCUAGUGUCUGUCAUCUGAACAUCAUGUUAGCUAGGUGUUAUCUAGUGUCUGUCAUCUGAACAUCAUGUUAUCUAGUGUCUGUCAUCUGAACAUCAUGUUAGCUAGGUGUUAUCUAGUGUCUGUCAUCUGAACAUCAUGUUAGCUAGGUGUUAUCUAGUGUCUGUCAUCUGAACAUCAUGUUAGCUAGGUGUUAUCUAGUGUCUGUCAUCUGAACAUCAUGUUAUCUAGUGUCUGUCAUCUGAACAUCAUGUUAGCUAGGUGUUAUCUAGUGUCUGUCAUCUGAACAUCAUGUUAGCUAGGUGUUAUCUAGUGUCUGUCAUGUGAACAUCAUGUUAUCUAGUGUGUCAUCUGAGCAUCAUAUUAGCUAGGUAGUUUAUUAGGCUACAGAUUAAAUAAAUGAACUUCACUGUCUCGUGAAAGUGCACGGUGAUGAGCUUGAUGCUACUUUCCAAUAAAUAUCGAGGGUCUUAUUCUGGUGACAUGAUGACAUGUUAAAAUAUUCUCGCUCUUAUCCAUAAUAAU